This 472-nucleotide ribosomal RNA is filed under the name uncultured bacterium. Its description in RNAcentral is "partial 16S ribosomal RNA". It matches the Rfam family "Bacterial small subunit ribosomal RNA", at positions 28 to 507 of the family's 1533-position model. The record is from RNAcentral.
GACGAACGCUGGCGGCGUGCUUAACACAUGCAAGUCGAACGCUGAAGCUUGGUGCUUGCACUGGGUGGAUGAGUGGCUAACGGGUGAGUAAUACGUGAGUAACCUGCCCUUGACUCUGGGAUAAGCCUGGGAAACUGGGUCUAAUACUGGAUACGACAUGCCACUGCAUGGUGGUGUGUGGAAAGGGUUUUACUGGUUUUGGAUGGGCUCACGUCCUAUCAGCUUGUUGGUGGGGUAAUGGCCUACCAAGGCGACGACGGGUAGCCGGCCUGAGAGGGUGACCGGCCACACUGGGACUGAGACACGGCCCAGACUCGUACGGGAGGCAGCAGUGGGGAAUAUUGCACAAUGGGCGGAAGCCUGAUGCAGCGACGCCGCGUGAGGGAUGACGGCCUUCGGGUUGUAAACCUCUUUCAGCACGGAAGAAGCGAGAGUGACGGUACGUGCAGAAGAAGCGCCGGCUAACUACGUG